GUUAUAUGGUCAAGUGAAGAAGCGCAUACGGUGGAUGCCUUGGCAGUCAGAGGCGAUGAAAGACGUGGUAGCCUGCGAAAAGCUUCGGGGAGUCGGCAAACAGACUUUGAUCCGGAGAUGUCUGAAUGGGGGAACCCAGCCAUCAUAAGAUGGUUACCUUACACUGAAUACAUAGGUGUAUGGAGCGAACCAGGGGAACUGAAACAUCUAAGUACCCUGAGGAAAAGAAAUCAACCGAGAUUCCCUUAGUAGUGGCGAGCGAACGGGGACUAGCCCUUAAGUGGCUUUGAGAUUAGCGGAACGCUCUGGAAAGUGCGGCCAUAGUGGGUGAUAGCCCUGUACGCGAAAAUCUCUUAGUCAUGAAAUCGAGUAGGACGGAGCACGAGAAACUUUGUCUGAAUAUGGGGGGACCAUCCUCCAAGGCUAAAUACUACUGACUGACCGAUAGUGAACUAGUACCGUGAGGGAAAGGCGAAAAGAACCCCGGAGAGGGGAGUGAAAUAGAUCCUGAAACCGUAUGCGUACAAGCAGUGGGAGCCCACUUUGUUGGGUGACUGCGUACCUUUUGUAUAAUGGGUCAGCGACUUAUUUUCAGUGGCGAGCUUAACCGAAUAGGGGAGGCGUAGCGAAAGCGAGUCUUAAUAGGGCGUCUAGUCGCUGGGAAUAGACCCGAAACCGGGCGAUCUAUCCAUGGGCAGGUUGAAGGUUGGGUAACACUAACUGGAGGACCGAACCGACUACCGUUGAAAAGUUAGCGGAUGACCUGUGGAUCGGAGUGAAAGGCUAAUCAAGCUCGGAGAUAGCUGGUUCUCCUCGAAAGCUAUUUAGGUAGCGCCUCAUGUAUCACUGUAGGGGGUAGAGCACUGUUUCGGCUAGGGGGUCAUCCCGACUUACCAAACCGAUGCAAACUCCGAAUACCUACAAGUGCCGAGCAUGGGAGACACACGGCGGGUGCUAACGUCCGUCGUGAAAAGGGAAACAACCCAGACCGUCAGCUAAGGUCCCAAAGUUAUGGUUAAGUGGGAAACGAUGUGGGAAGGCUUAGACAGCUAGGAGGUUGGCUUAGAAGCAGCCACCCUUUAAAGAAAGCGUAAUAGCUCACUAGUCGAGUCGGCCUGCGCGGAAGAUGUAACGGGGCUCAAACCAUACACCGAAGCUACGGGUAUCACGUAAGUGAUGCGGUAGAGGAGCGUUCUGUAAGCCUGUGAAGGUGAGUUGAGAAGCUUGCUGGAGGUAUCAGAAGUGCGAAUGCUGACAUGAGUAACGACAAUGGGUGUGAAAAACACCCACGCCGAAAGACCAAGGUUUCCUGCGCAACGUUAAUCGACGCAGGGUUAGUCGGUCCCUAAGGCGAGGCUGAAAAGCGUAGUCGAUGGAAAACAGGUUAAUAUUCCUGUACUUCUGGUUAUUGCGAUGGAGGGACGGAGAAGGCUAGGCCAGCUUGGCGUUGGUUGUCCAAGUUUAAGGUGGUAGGCUGAGAUCUUAGGUAAAUCCGGGAUCUUAAGGCCGAGAGCUGAUGACGAGUUACCCUUUGGGUGACGAAGUGGUUGAUGCCAUGCUUCCAAGAAAAGCUUCUAAGCUUCAGGUAACCAGGAACCGUACCCCAAACCGACACAGGUGGUUGGGUAGAGAAUACCAAGGCGCUUGAGAGAACUCGGGUGAAGGAACUAGGCAAAAUG
Molecule: ribosomal RNA, 1679 nt
Filed under: Mesorhizobium sp.
Lineage: Bacteria; Pseudomonadati; Pseudomonadota; Alphaproteobacteria; Hyphomicrobiales; Phyllobacteriaceae
Description: partial 23S ribosomal RNA
Rfam family: Bacterial large subunit ribosomal RNA
Source: RNAcentral